This is a long non-coding RNA of Taeniopygia guttata (zebra finch), 4481 nucleotides long. The record is from Ensembl. NCBI's taxonomy places the organism in Eukaryota, Metazoa, Chordata, Aves, Passeriformes, Estrildidae.
UUUUGGAUGUCAGUAAGUAAUUUUAAUCAUUACAAUAAAAAUAACUUUUUGCUUGUAGUAACCCUAUUUUUGUCAUAACUGCACUGCUAUACAUUGGAAAAAUAACUAAGACAAGUUUACAUAAGUAGGAAGGAAGAAAUAUGCCAUGAGAAGAGAAAUAUAAGCUAUAAACACAAUACAAAUUUAAAAUAAAAGAACAUAUGCCUAAAGCCUUGUGUAAUGCAGUUUGGUAAAUCCAGUCACUCUUCUACACUUUAUGUAUAGAAGACUAUCUGCAGUUACAGUAUUAGGAGUAUGGACUGAUUAGAGGCUCUGAGCUACCAGUACAGCUUAGCUGACUAACUACAAACUCAGUCUUGACAUUCUGGGGCCAAAACACUGCACCUGAAAUCACUGGCUCCUCUUGAUCUUCAUGGGAACCACGUAGUUUGGGGGCUGCAGCACUGCUGACAGCUGCUUCCACGCUGAGCAGCCCAGGCUGCCACCAGCUGCAUGUGCCACCAGCCCUGGUCCUCCUGGGACUAUGCUGCUGGCUUUGAGUCAGAGCCAGCAUGCUUAAAAUGGUCCAAGUGCAUCUAUGGCACCUGUUCUGAUGUCUCUUGAGUGCCAUGUGGGCAUUGCAUCAAUUAAUGGGAUCAGCAAGGGAGGACCAGCACUGUGUGAGAAGUACCACACAAGGGACACGAGCUCAGGGUCAGGGAAGAGAGAGGAGCUCAUACGGGUUGAUGGCUGAAGAACAGAAUGAGGCAACAAGUAGAAUUUGGAGUGGUUUAAAAGACGGAACUAAAGAGACUACGUGUAGGAAGUUGCUCUGGAAAAGAGAUUGAAAUGUCGGAUGAGACAUGGGAAAGCAAAAAAGAAACAGGAGGGGAAAAGUAGGGAAAGAGAUGGAGGUGAGACUAGGCAGGGUGUAGUACAGGAUGUCUGGGGUAAGAGAAGCAACUCCUGAACCAAACAUCCAAAAGUAGAGCAGUCAGAAGGAAGAAGGAAGAGGAAAAAGGAAGGGGAGAGCAGGCAGAGAGGAGUUCAAUGAAUAGUGGUUUUUCACGUGUUUUACUCUAAGGGACCUUGGGCACCAGCCUUUAGACCCAGACAGACAUGGCCAUGCCACAUUCCUGGGCUGCUGCUGAGUGUUUGACACUUAGAACUGGGCUGUGCAUAUUCCUAAGAUGGUACUGGUAUAAAGCUGGGCUUUGCCAGCAAAUUUACACUGCAUCAGAUAUAGUCUGUGCUGGCUGGAAUAGCAUGACAUGCCAUUGCUAAGUAAUGUAUAUCACAUAUAAAAUCUUUAUGCACAAUUAGCUGGGCUGAGCUGCUCUGCCAUCAGCUGUGGACAGUGUCUGUUUCAGCAACUGAUAUGCAAAGAGCUCAGUUUUCAGAUGCAACUCAGAGGGCUAUAAUUUUCCCCUAAAAAUGUAGAAUAUUGUGACAUUCUUAUUAUCUGUUGUUCUUUUCUCCCUGGUAUGUAGCACAGCUAGUUCUUUUUCCUGCUACAGCACUGCAGCUGCUGCCUCUAACACAGUAAAAGAUGCAGAAUCAGCCCAUGCCAGUGCAGGCAAAAAAAAAAGUGCAGUGCCAAAAAAGAAGUGGCAAUGAGAGAGUAAAACAGAGCAGCAGGAGGCAGGUGGUUUGGGAAGCUCUGGGAAACUGCAGAAGCAUGGAGCUGUGUGCUGUGCUCUGUGACUGAGUAGAGAACUUCCAGAGGGAAGAAGGAUACUUCACAAAGGCACAAACGGCAGUCACAGGGAUAUUGCUGUAUUUAGUGUUUGCAUUGUGAAAGUCAGGAUGGAACUUUAUGGCUAUAAAAACCCUAGCCCUGCCCAAAAAGUAGCUUUACAGAGCUUGUUUCUGUUCCCAACAGGUCUAAAACCAACAAACCAUAUGUGUAUUUUAACAUGUUCUUUAUAGCUGCCUCUGAAAUUUUCCAGGGAGGGAUGAAUUUUUAAAAAGUGAAUGGGGUGUGGCAGUGCUAUAGGCAAGUGAAUUGAUAGUAAAGAGAAAUACUAGAUCAUUCCCUGACAUUUUAAGAUGAUAGCUACUGGUUUAAAUAUAAAAUAACAGUUCAUGGACCAACAGUUAGAGAUGCUCCUCACUGACCUGCUUCAGUAAUUUGGGUUUUUUUUCUGGCUGCUGAACUUUAGAAAUCCUUAGAAGAUAAAUUUACAGGCUGUGUCUGCUCAGGGGGAAGAUUAUUAAACAAGCAACCUCAAACAAUUAAAUAAAACCUUAGCUAUAUACAAUCACUUUAAUUUUGUCCUUUGAUAUUGUUAAUCUGAUUAAAUUCUUUCCAAACAAACUUCACACAGAACUUGGCCUAUGAGGAGCGGACUGAGCCCAUAUGUAUCCUGACAGGAGUGUUUACUCAAAUGGAGUUAUCCCAGCCUUGCUGUGCAUACUUGGGGACGUAAAAUGGCCUGGGGACAGGAACUCAGAGAACAAUAAGGAUAGAGAAACUUAGAGGAAAUUACCUACUGAGAGAAGAGGAAUGCACUGAGAGUAGAAGAAUCAGUCAGACAGGAAGACAUCAGAUAUUGGGAAAAUGCCCAUGAAGAGGGAGCAAAAGAUGCCCAUGAAGAGAGGUUUAGAGAGGAGCAGUGUGGAGACAGAAGCAUUUUGAAGAGGGAGGACAAGGACUGCCAACACGGCAGGGCAGGGUAUGGGAAAAGAUAUUUCUAGGGGUGCAGAGCCCCAGCAAAGAAGGGGCACAAGUUCAGAGGCGGUGAAGAGGAAGAGACCAGAUAGCACUGACAUAAACUUUGACUGCUCUUCAGCCAGUAGACAAAUAUUUCUGGCUGCAGAAACAUUCUUUCCUUCCCCAUCUUCCUGGACAGGGGCAGAUGGAGACAUAGGCCUUGACUUAGGAAAUUUUGAGUUUGGCACUGUCAGAUCUGCUGUACCAGUGGAAGCUCACCUGGCUGGUCUGGGGCAAAGCAGGGCUGGCUUGUAGUCCCUGCCCUACAGUAGCCUUCUGUGGAGGCAGUGCAGGCAGGAAUGUACCAGAGCUUUCUGCACUGAUGGUCUUACUGCAGCCCAGGCACUGCUGGGCUUGACCUGCUGCUCAUUAACAGUGUUCAGGCAGAAUUCCCUGCCGGAGGACCAGUGAAGACCAGGGAUGGGGACAAUGUAGCCACACAAGCUCAGCACCAUACUGCUUUUGGGCAUGCUAAGAUCUGCAAUCCUUCCCAUGGAUGGACCAGCCUGGAGUUCUGGUACUCUGCUAGGUGGAGCCCAGGAGUGAAGCCCUCUCUGUUGAAUUGGGUGUGAGGGAAUUGAUCUGUCCUUGGACAGGGUUCCCUGGGCCUGGGGAAAAGAUUUUUCCCUGCCAUUCUAACCUGGCCCUUCAUUUGGCAGAGGAGUAGGGGAAGAUGGUUGCCCCCAGCCUGAGAAAGAGAAAUUUUUGGGGCCCCAAAUUACUCAAGAUGGUGGAGAGGGUGCCAGGAGUGACAAGAGCAGCGGGAUGGUAAUGAGGGGAUGCACAUCCAAGUCACCCUGCAAUAUAUUAGGGAAAAUGCCUCAGUGUUGGCACCACACUCUUCCAAAAGAGUCCACGGGCACCGGUGAGGGGCUUGCAAGGAUGGCAGGCAAGGAGAGCCCGUUGUGCAGUGCCACCAUCCUGCCGGCUGCAGAGCCGGUGAGGGCACUGAGCGUGCGGCCCAUGGAGUGGACAUGCUGAGUCGCCAAAAGCCACUGACGGGGAGUGCCUGGGGGCCCCCACGGUGAGUGAGUGUCUCCCGAGAGGGGGGGAACAAUCCCUCUCCGCCCAAGCCCCUGGGCGUGACUUGUGCCCGGCAUUGCAGAUGGAGGAGAGGAACGCAGUGAGGGGAUCCCUGCUCCCAGUGCCGCAGCUCUGCCAGGGCCCGCGGAUGAGCCCGGCGCGGGGGGCGGAAUUGGCACCUCGCUGUUCGCUUCCAGAGCUACCGGGAAAGAAUCGUCUUCUGCAGGAUAAAGUCCCUGUCUAGGCAGGUGAAUUGCCCGUGUCCAAAGUCUACAGGCAGGAGGCUGCCUGCUGCAAUUCCUGUGAGAGGGGUAACUUUUACAAUAUACGGCCUGAUUGCAAAUAAGUUACUAAUAAGCCGCUUUGGCGUAAGAACGGCUCUGUGCAUUAUUUCCUAAGAUUUGUUUAUUUGCAAAUAUUUCUUUGUUUUUCUUCUUUUUAAAAAAAUCAUUCGGGAAAAUUAGAAAAAAAAGGUACAGAAGUUAAUAUUUAGACAUUCAUACUAUUAAGUAAUAGAGCUAUAAACUCUCAAAUAAGGCACUUUCAUUUUACUUAACAAUAGAUAACACAACAGCGACAGUGGAACAGACCAAACAAAAGCGAUCACCAAAAUUGUUGUGACAGUACAAUUACCCGGCUAGGAAAUUUAUUCAAUAUGCUUUGCCAUUGCAUUGACACAGCAGGAAAAAAAAAGCCCAAAUGCUCAGAGAAUAAUACAAGAAGGCGGGAGGUAUUUGGGAAAAAAAAAAAAAAAAAAAAAAAAAAA